This 1280-nucleotide ribosomal RNA is filed under the name Salmonella enterica subsp. enterica. RNAcentral describes it as "bacterial LSU rRNA". It matches the Rfam family "Bacterial large subunit ribosomal RNA", at positions 1 to 1211 of the family's 2925-position model. The record is from RNAcentral. Lineage: Bacteria; Pseudomonadati; Pseudomonadota; Gammaproteobacteria; Enterobacterales; Enterobacteriaceae.
GGGUUGUGAGGUUAAGCGACUAAGCGUACACGGUGGAUGCCCUGGCAGUCAGAGGCGAUGAAGGACGUGCUAAUCUGCGAUAAGCGCCGGUAAGGUGAUAUGAACCGUUAUAACCGGCGAUUUCCGAAUGGGGAAACCCAGUGUGAUUCGUCACACUAUCGUUAACUGAAUACAUAGGUUAACGAAGCGAACCGGGGGAACUGAAACAUCUAAGUACCCCGAGGAAAAGAAAUCAACCGAGAUUCCCCCAGUAGCGGCGAGCGAACGGGGAGGAGCCCAGAGCCUGAAUCAGCAUGUGUGUUAGUGGAAGCGUCUGGAAAGGCGCGCGAUACAGGGUGACAGCCCCGUACACAAAAGCGCAUGUGCUGUGAGCUCGAUGAGUAGGGCGGGACACGUGGUAUCCUGUCUGAAUAUGGGGGGACCAUCCUCCAAGGCUAAAUACUCCUGACUGACCGAUAGUGAACCAGUACCGUGAGGGAAAGGCGAAAAGAACCCCGGCGAGGGGAGUGAAAAAGAACCUGAAACCGUGUACGUACAAGCAGUGGGAGCCCCACCACCAAAGCAUUCUCUGGUGUUGAAGGCCCUGCAAAGCAGCAUCGCGGUGGCGGAGCGUCGUUUGCGACGCCCAACACACAAAACAAGCGGUGAGUGCUUUGGGGUGGGGUGACUGCGUACCUUUUGUAUAAUGGGUCAGCGACUUAUAUUCUGUAGCAAGGUUAACCGUAUAGGGGAGCCGAAGGGAAACCGAGUCUUAACUGGGCGUUAAGUUGCAGGGUAUAGACCCGAAACCCGGUGAUCUAGCCAUGGGCAGGUUGAAGGUUGGGUAACACUAACUGGAGGACCGAACCGACUAAUGUUGAAAAAUUAGCGGAUGACUUGUGGCUGGGGGUGAAAGGCCAAUCAAACCGGGAGAUAGCUGGUUCUCCCCGAAAGCUAUUUAGGUAGCGCCUCGUGAACUCAUCUUCGGGGGUAGAGCACUGUUUCGGCUAGGGGGUCAUCCCGACUUACCAACCCGAUGCAAACUGCGAAUACCGAAGAAUGUUAUCACGGGAGACACACGGCGGGUGCUAACGUCCGUCGUGAAGAGGGAAACAACCCAGACCGCCAGCUAAGGUCCCAAAGUCACAGUUAAGUGGGAAACGAUGUGGGAAGGCUCAGACAGCCAGGAUGUUGGCUUAGAAGCAGCCAUCAUUUAAAGAAAGCGUAAUAGCUCACUGGUCGAGUCGGCCUGCGCGGAAGAUGUAACGGGGCUAAACUGUGCACCGAAGCUGCGGCAGCGA